UAUGUAGGGUGCGAGCGUUAAUCGGAAUUACUGGGCGUAAAGUGUGCGCAGGCGGCCGAGCAAGUCGAGUGUGAAAGCCCCGAGCUUAACUUGGGAACUGCGCUCGAAACUACUUGGCUAGAGUGUGGCAGAGGGAGGUGGAAUUCCACGUGUAGCGGUGAAAUGCGUAGAUAUCAGGAGGAACACCUGCGGUGUAGACGGCUUACUGGACCAUCACUGACACUGAGGCGCGACAGCGUGGGGAGCAAACAGG
This 253-nucleotide ribosomal RNA is filed under the name uncultured bacterium. Its description in RNAcentral is "partial 16S ribosomal RNA". It matches the Rfam family "Bacterial small subunit ribosomal RNA", at positions 524 to 776 of the family's 1533-position model. The record is from RNAcentral.